UACGAAGGGGGCUAGCGUUGCUCGGAAUCACUGGGCGUAAAGCGCACGUAGGCGGCUUUUUAAGUCAGGGGUGAAAUCCUGGAGCUCAACUUCAGAACUGCCUUUGAUACUGGGAAGCUCGAGUCCGGGAGAGGUGAGUGGAACUCCGAGUGUAGAGGUGAAAUUCGUAGAUAUUCGGAAGAACACCAGUGGCGAAGGCGGCUCACUGGCCCGGUACUGACGCUGAGGUGCGAAAGCGUGGGGAGCAAACAGG
RNAcentral lists this ribosomal RNA (253 nucleotides) under uncultured bacterium. RNAcentral's name for it is "partial 16S ribosomal RNA". It matches the Rfam family "Bacterial small subunit ribosomal RNA", at positions 524 to 776 of the family's 1533-position model. The record is from RNAcentral.